ACGAUCUUACUUGAACAGGGUCUGUUCUAUAGGAUUGUACUACUGUGUCCUUGAUUUCUAAGGAGACAGGAACAAAAAUCUGGAUGAAGAACAAUGACCGUGCGAUCAGAGCGUGAUUAACGGCAUGGAUGAUUCUCAAUUUGGAGAUAUCAUCCUCUGCUGUGAAGGAUCGUUCUUGAUCAGGUUGAUCUCUGAUCUAGACGUUCGUACGGUGUUCUGACAGAUG
Small nucleolar RNA from Trifolium pratense (red clover), 226 nucleotides. RefSeq annotates it as small nucleolar RNA U3. The record is from RefSeq and is a predicted model, not a curated record. The transcript has a single exon. Lineage: Eukaryota; Viridiplantae; Streptophyta; Magnoliopsida; Fabales; Fabaceae.